GACGAACGCUGGCGGCGUGCUUAACACAUGCAAGUCGAACGCUGAAGCCCAGCUUGCUGGGUGGAUGAGUGGCGAACGGGUGAGUAACACGUGAGUAACCUGCCCCCUUCUUUGGGAUAACGCCCGGAAACGGGUGCUAAUACUGGAUAUUCACUGAUCUUCGCAUGGGGGUUGGUGGAAAGGUUUUUUCUGGUGGGGGAUGGGCUCGCGGCCUAUCAGCUUGUUGGUGGGGUGAUGGCCUACCAAGGCUUUGACGGGUAGCCGGCCUGAGAGGGUGACCGGUCACAUUGGGACUGAGAUACGGCCCAGACUCCUACGGGAGGCAGCAGUGGGGAAUAUUGCACAAUGGGCGAAAGCCUGAUGCAGCGACGCCGCGUGAGGGAUGACGGCCUUCGGGUUGUAAACCUCUUUCGCUCAUGGUCAAGCCGCAGCUUUGGGUUGUGGUGAGGGUAGUGGGUAAAGAAGCGCCGGCUAACUACGUGCCAGCAGCCGCGGUAAUACGUAGGGCGCGAGCGUUGUCCGGAAUUAUUGGGCGUAAAGGGCUUGUAGGCGGUUGGUCGCGUCUGCCGUGAAAUCCUCUGGCUUAACUGGGGGCGUGCGGUGGGUACGGGCUGACUUGAGUGCGGUAGGGGAGACUGGAACCCCUGGUGUAGCGGUGGAAUGCGCAGAUAUCAGGAAGAACACCGGUGGCGAAGGCGGGUCUCUGGGCCGUUACUGACGCUGAGGAGCGAAAGCGUGGGGAGCGAACAGG
This 751-nucleotide ribosomal RNA is filed under the name uncultured Actinomyces sp. RNAcentral describes it as "bacterial SSU rRNA". It matches the Rfam family "Bacterial small subunit ribosomal RNA", at positions 28 to 776 of the family's 1533-position model. Lineage: Bacteria; Bacillati; Actinomycetota; Actinomycetes; Actinomycetales; Actinomycetaceae. The record is from RNAcentral.